AUUGAACGCUGGCGGCAGGCCUAACACAUGCAAGUCGAACGGUAACAGGAAGAAGCUUGCUUCUUUGCUGACGAGUGGCGGCCGGGUGAGUAAUGUCUGGGAAACUGCCUGAUGGAGGGGGAUAACUACUGGAAACGGUAGCUAAUACCGCAUAACGUCGCAAGACCAAAGAGGGGGACCUUCGGGCCUCUUGCCAUCGGAUGUGCCCAGAUGGGAUUAGCUAGUAGGUGGGGUAACGGCUCACCUAGGCGACGAUCCCUAGCUGGUCUGAGAGGAUGACCAGCCACACUGGAACUGAGACACGGUCCAGACUCCUACGGGAGGCAGCAGUGGGGAAUAUUGCACAAUGGGCGCAAGCCUGAUGCAGACAUGCCGCGUGUAUGAAGAAGGCCUUCGGGUUGUAAAGUACUUUCAGCGGGGAGGAAGGGAGUAAAGUUAAUACCUUAGCUCAUUGACGUUACCCGCAGAAGAAGCACCGGCUAACUCCGUG
RNAcentral lists this ribosomal RNA (490 nucleotides) under uncultured bacterium. RNAcentral describes it as "partial 16S ribosomal RNA". It matches the Rfam family "Bacterial small subunit ribosomal RNA", at positions 30 to 507 of the family's 1533-position model. The record is from RNAcentral.